Molecule: non-coding RNA, 1253 nt
Organism: Benincasa hispida (wax gourd)
Lineage: Eukaryota; Viridiplantae; Streptophyta; Magnoliopsida; Cucurbitales; Cucurbitaceae
Source: RefSeq, a predicted model, not a curated record
AUAAAAAAAAAACUCAUCUUCCUCUUCACGCACGGCUUCUCCUUCCCCAGAAUUUUUCCUCCUGCCUUCAACGAGUCGAGCCUCCCUACUGCCCAGAUCCGCGCGCCUCCCUCACUACCUCUAGAUCCGCCACGCCUCCCUCACUACCUCCCGACCACCGUGCCCCCCUUACUGCCCAGAUCCAUCGCGCUUCCCUCACUGCCUCCCUUCGUCGAACGAGCCAGACUCGCCGCUCCAGCUUUGACCACCGCCAUCGUGCCGAUCUCGCCCAGCCGAUCUGAAUCGUCGCCGUCGCUUCAACCCCUGACGCCGCACAUCGUCGCUGUCUCCCAAUAUCUUGAGCCACUGCCGCCUCUAGCCGGUUUCUUCACCAUCCAUCGCCGCGCUGCCUAUCUUCUGUUGCGUGGGUCUUCGUCGGACUCUUAAUUUUGAUUUGAGCUUGGAAAAUUAUAGCAGCAACUGUCUAGUGGAUUCAAGAUCAUUCGACAAGAGUUUUGGUUUCAAGUUGUCGUCCAUUGGGAUUUAAAAUCUGUUAGAAGGAGAUUUUGGAGUCGAAAUCUUGCGAGUGUUUGUUGAUCAAGUUUCGUUUGGGUAAGUUAAUUGGUGAGCAUUGGAUUCCAUUUGUAUGUUUGGGUCCUGGUUCCAUUACUGAAAUUUAGUAUUAUGUAUGUAUUAGGGGACUCAAUUUAAGACUUAUUUGGUUGGAGAUUAUUAGCUUGGAUUAAUAUCUAAAUUUGACUUUGAGGUAAGUAAUCUUACCACUGGAACUGCCCACGGGCUAGACUUUAGUUGUAUGCUAGCAUGGUGAGUGUAUGUUAUGGUAAACUGUUAGCAUCUUGAUUGAUAAUAUGACCUGAAUGAAAGUAUGUUCUGGCACAAGUACUGAAUUGUUUAAAUACAUACCUAAGCACUUGAUCGUUAGUAUGUGAUGGUAUGUGUUUUCAUAUGUCGACGUCUGAUCUGCUGAUGUUGAGGCAUACUUGUAUGUUGUAGAAUUAUGAUGUAAGGUCUACAUGGAUGUUGUAUAAUAUGUUGUUGAAGAUUAUGUGUAUGUAAUGGAGCCAUGGUACCAAGGAUUUCAUGUAUGUUUUAGAAUUGUACGGUGUUAAUUCUUUGAACGUUGAAACUGUGUGAAUAUCCUCAUUGAUUAGUUAGAUGCUCACCAGUUUUGUGUUUCCCUCGGGAUUCACCAGUUUGUGUUUCCUUCGGGAUUCACCAGUUUUGUGUUUCCUUUGGGAUUCACCAGUUUUGUG